CCUACGGGUGGCAGCAGUAGGGAAUAUUGCUCAAUGGGGGAAACCCUGAAGCAGCAACGCCGCGUGGAGGAUGAAGGUUUUCGGAUUGUAAACCCCUUUUGUUAGAGAAGAUAAUGACGGUAUCUAUCAAAUAAGCACCCUCUAAAUCUGUGACAGCACCCGCGGUAAUACGAAGGGUGCAAGCGUUACUCGGAAUCAUUGUGCGUAAAGAGCGCGUAGGCGGGAUAGCAAGUCAGAUGUGAAAUCCUAUGGCUUAACCAUAGAACUGCAUUUGAAACUGUUAGUCUAGAGUAUGGGAGAGGUAGGCGGAAUGCUCGGUGUAGCGGUGAAAUGCGUAGAGAUCAAGAGGAACACUAAUGGCGAAGGCGACCUGCUAGAACAUAACUGACGCUGAGGCGCGAAAGCGUGGGGAGCAAACAGGAUUAGAUACCCGUGUAGUC
Molecule: ribosomal RNA, 440 nt
Filed under: uncultured bacterium
Lineage: Bacteria
Description: partial 16S ribosomal RNA
Rfam family: Bacterial small subunit ribosomal RNA
Source: RNAcentral